GACGAACGCUGGCGGCGUGCCUAACACAUGCAAGUCAACUUGACUGAAGGAGCAAUCUGACAGUAGAGUGGCGCAAGGGUGCGUAACGCGUAAGUAACUUGCCCCAAGGUAAGGAAUAACGUCGAGAAAUCGGCGCUAAUACCUCAUAAUGCAGCGGAUCCGCAUGGAUAUGUUGUUAAAGGUUUACCGCCUUGGGAUAGGCUUGCGUCUGAUUAGCUAGUUGGUGUGGUAAACGGCACACCAAGGCUACGAUCAGUAACUGGUCUGAGAGGAUGAUCAGUCACACUGGAACUGAGACACGGUCCAGACUCCUACGGGAGGCAGCAGUGAGGAAUAUUGGGCAAUGCUCGAAAGAGUGACCCAGCAACGCCGCGUGGAGGAUGAAGGUAUUCUAUAUCGUAAACUCCUGUGAGAGCAGACGAAAGACAGAUUAUUAAUCUGGAUGACUGUAUGCUCAGAGGAAGCCCCGGCUAACUAC
This 478-nucleotide ribosomal RNA is filed under the name uncultured bacterium. RNAcentral's name for it is "bacterial SSU rRNA". It matches the Rfam family "Bacterial small subunit ribosomal RNA", at positions 28 to 504 of the family's 1533-position model. The record is from RNAcentral.